CAUUACUGAAGUAAACGGGGGAGUGCUGGCCUGCUGGCCUGCGGGCAAGUGCACCCUCCACCUUCAUCCACACACACCGUGUGCACCGUUUGAGGUUGGUCCUCCCGUAUCCGGAGCCGGCCCCGUUGGUGUUUUUGAACACCAGAUUAUGGGACUUGCCGCAAGGCUUGGCCCUGGCCUGGGGACUCUCCUACACCCUUUUCACAAACUCUAUUCUUGACCUGGAACGUAGCAGCGGCUCUGCCGCAAAACCCAUAUACAACUUUCAACAACGGAUCUCUUGGUUCUCGCAUCGAUGAAGAACGCAGCGAAAUGCGAUAAGUAAUGUGAAUUGCAGAAUUCAGUGAAUCAUCGAAUCUUUGAACGCAUCUUGCGCUCCUUGGUAUUCCGAGGAGCAUGCCUGUUUGAGUGUCAUGUUAUCUCUCAACCCUUGGGUUGGACUAUGGAUGUCUGCGGGAGCCAGCCUUCCGCUCGUCUCAAAUGCAUUAGCAGGUGCCCUUGCUCCUUGCUGGCGUUGAGUAAUGCUUGCGCCGCGCGAGGUCGCGAACAGUGCCUUUCUGCUUACCAGCCGGCACCCCCGAGUGCCAAUUUUGACCUUUCUGGCCUCAAAUCAGGUAGGACUACCC
This 626-nucleotide ribosomal RNA is filed under the name uncultured Basidiomycota. Its description in RNAcentral is "eukaryotic LSU rRNA". The stretch from base 261 to 414 matches the Rfam family "5.8S ribosomal RNA". The record is from RNAcentral. Lineage: Eukaryota; Fungi; Basidiomycota.